CCGGAAUCGCAGGUUGAUCGACGAAGAACUAUCCUCGCUCCUCACCAAGAGAGCGAUAGAACGGGCCCCCCUGGACUCCACGGGAGUCGUAAGCAAUAUUUUCCUAGUGGAAAAGAAGGGCGGCCAAAUGCGCCCAGUCAUAAAUCUGCGCCCACUCAAUGCUAUGGUCAAGUACCGCCAUUUCAAGAUGGAGGGUAUCCAUCUGUUGAGAGAUCUACUCCUUCAGGGGGAC
Molecule: non-coding RNA, 232 nt
Organism: Pelobates cultripes (western spadefoot toad)
Lineage: Eukaryota; Metazoa; Chordata; Amphibia; Anura; Pelobatidae
Source: the annotation of a GenBank genome assembly